UCCAUCCUAAGUCAGCAGCAGAGCGUGCCUGGGGCGUGAGCAGUUGGAGGGACCGACCAGUGGAGUGUGCGUGUCGGAAGGCAGUCUACCCAGUCAUGAGUGGCUACCACACUGGCUACUAUAUGGGUUUCAGACAAAAUAAAAAAGAAGGAAAGUGCUCACAUACAAAUUAAGAAGUUCAGCUCUGUCUCAGGAGAUGGG
This 201-nucleotide small RNA is filed under the name Mus musculus (house mouse). Lineage: Eukaryota; Metazoa; Chordata; Mammalia; Rodentia; Muridae. The record is from RNAcentral.